Ornithorhynchus anatinus (platypus) is the source of this 553-nucleotide long non-coding RNA. RefSeq lists it as uncharacterized. Lineage: Eukaryota; Metazoa; Chordata; Mammalia; Monotremata; Ornithorhynchidae. The record is from RefSeq and is a predicted model, not a curated record. The transcript is spliced from 2 exons.
UUCAUGGACCGACUGCCUUCCUGUGGCCGAUUUCCUUCCCCGGCACCCGGGAGGAUUUAGGGAGUGGACAAAGAAAACCUGGUCUCCUUGUAAAACCGUUAUGUCAGUAUUGCCCUCCCAAUAAAUGACGCUAUUAUGAAUGGUGAAUGGGAACGACAGUUUCCCCAAAUCAGCAACUCCGGUUUAUGGCCGACGUAUCGAAAAUGUCAGCGGGAACGUCAGCGGGACCGGCUCCUCACUACUCAUCCUUUGUCGGUGGCCUUGUGAACGUGGGUUUUGGAUGGAGAAAUGGGAUUGUUUCCUAAUUGAAAACUGAGCACAUUAUUCUGCCUUUCUGAUUGCAGUUCUAAAUGCGUAAUUUAGCACAUUGUUAAAGUGCUCUUGCAGAUGUCUCAAAAGGGCUUUUCAGUCACUUGAGUGACUUUGUUCAUCUUCAGUCCUCAAAUAAGCAUUGCAUCAUUGGCUCUUGGGUCCUUAACAACUUGAAGCCCGGAAAAGUAGCACUUCUCAUUUCCUAAUCAGGAAAGUAAAGUUCGGUUAUUUUGUCACCCCA